Pan troglodytes (chimpanzee) is the source of this 2318-nucleotide long non-coding RNA. RefSeq lists it as uncharacterized. The record is from RefSeq and is a predicted model, not a curated record. The transcript has 3 exons. NCBI's taxonomy places the organism in Eukaryota, Metazoa, Chordata, Mammalia, Primates, Hominidae.
CUUGAAAUGGGCUGAGUCCCUCUUGCUCACCCUUGACUUGGAAAAACCAGUUUCUCUUUUAUUGUCUGUUACUAAUCUCUAUUCUAAAAAUUCAGCUCAAUUCUCAACCAUACUCCAAACUCUCUCUUUUCCAGCUACCUUUACUCCCUCUCCUUCAAUUCCACUUUCCUCUGCUUACUUUUUUUUUUUUUUCUGACAGGGUCUCACUUUGUCGCCCAGGCAGGAGUGCAGUGGCUCAAUCUUGGGCUCACUGCAGCCUCAACCUCCCAGGUUCAAACGAUUCUCCUGCCUCAGCCCCUCAAGUAGCUGGGACUACAAGCGCACACCACCACGCCUGACUAAUUUUUUGUAUUUUUUUGUAGAGGCGGGGUUUCACCAUGUUGCCCAGACUGGUCUUGAACUCCUGAGCUUAAGCAAUCCACCUGCCUCGGCCUCCCAAAGUGUUGGGAUCACAGGCGUGAGCCACCGCAUCCGGCCUCAUGUUCUUUUUCAUUAAAGAGAGAAAUCAACUAUUCAGGACCGGCCCCCACCUUUCCUCAGGAGUCAUUUCUGUUCUGCACAGGCCUGCUGAACUGGGUGCUUUAUAUAGGACACUGUCAUCUCUCAAGUACCCAUCUUGGAGGGUACGGACCCCACAUGAGGGUGAGGCUCUCUGCACACUCCAGAGUGAGGACUUUAAUAAUCUAGUGGACUGUACAUGUUGGGAGGGGAAGAGCGGGGUGCCGAGGGUCUGGAGGGAGAAGAAUUGACUGCCCCUUUUGCUCUUGGAGUUAAGCAGAAAUCUAAAGAGAAGGCAAAGCAUCUUGCCUUCCUGGCAUCAUUUCCUCCUACCAUCCCAGGCCAUCAUUUAUUUAUUACAGCCAACAGACUGGCCUCUUUCUUCCCUUUGACUGGGAAUGGGUCAAAGGCGGUGCAGGAGGAGGAUCUGGUCCAGAUAAUUCACAAGCAGGGUGCAUUUUCCUCUCAUUAUUGAGAACUGUGAGUGUUUAUCAAGAAGGCAGAGCGGGAGAAGAUGAACCAGUCUUCUUCCCCUCACUACCCAGAUCUCUGCCUGCCAACAAGCCCCGUGUUCACCCUGGCAAAGAGUCUUUACAUUCAGACCAAGGAGAGUGUGACUCCUUCUCAGCACUAGCUAGAAACCUCAAGCCCUUGCUUAAGGGCCUUUUUCAGAGAGACCCAAUGCCCAGAAGGCUAGAUGCGUGGGGAGGAGCCACAUACGAGAAACUGCCUCCCUGCUUCGGGUCAGAACAAGCCCCAGGAAGAAAGUAUUUCAAACAACAAGGUGCAUCUGCCUCAACCCAUCCAGCCUGCAUGUUGGUGCUGAGAACAGCCUUUUAUGGGGCUUGCACUGAGCUAUGGGCAUGUCUGAACACAACAAGGAAGAGGCCAGAGCAGCAACAGCACUCAAAGGGUUGAUGGGCAUUUCUUUUAAGAGAGAGCAGAAAACUCUUAGAUACUUUGCGUCCUUCCUAUUUGACUCAGUCUAUGAAAGCCUGGUUAGCUUUCUUUCUUCCUCCCUAAAUCCUCCAUCCUCAUGUCCAACAAAGAAAUAGUUGAAUCAUUUUCCAGGCACAUCUUGGGGAGGAUGUGGGGCCAUUGGAGGCUGUCCUUCCUAGAUAAGUCUUUAGGAGUGAGAACAAGGAGUCUUACCCUCCUCUGUCCACCCACCCCCAUCAAUGGGCCUGGCUCCAGCCAGGAGUUGUGGUUUUUCCUGAGCUCCUCACCUAUCUCUUCUGGAUUUCACAUUGGCAAACGGGGCUGCAAAGUGCUCUUCGUGCUCUUUGGACAGUGCCUUGUGGAGAGGAAUGCCCAUGCCCCUGCAUUCCAAGGCCUUGGUAAGCAAGCUCAGAGUAGCUGGAUUUUUCUAAAGCAAUUGCAGAACACCUGCUUUUUCUUUGUUUCCUCUAGAAAGGACCAACCACACCGAGCUCAGUUAUGGCACACACAGUGGGACCUAGACAAAGGGAGAGGGUGACCGGCAUCCCAACUAGAUUUCAGUGGAGUGAAGUUCAGGAGGCAUGGAGCUGACAACCAUGAGGCCUCGGCAGCCACCGCCACCACCGCCGCCGCCACCACCGUAGCAGCAGCAGCAGCAGCAGCAAGAGUAACUCUGACUUAGGAAUAGAGACAGCCAGAGAGAAAUGUGAUCAAUGAAGGAGACAUCUGGAGUGUGCGUGCUUCUUCAGAGGGACGGGUGAUGGGCAGAUUGGAAAAAGCACCGCAGAUGGGAACCUUAAUCUUUCUUUUCUAAAAUUGAUGCUAUGAAAAUUUGCGUUUUCUGUAACUUGUAAAAACUAAAGUUGCUUGUCUACUGAAAA